UACUGGGUGUGGGCCGGUGGCUGCUGGAGUUGUCAGGCACUUCCCAGCCAGAGCUCUCUGGCUUUUAUUUUACAGCUGAGAGAGAAAUUUCAAUACUGUAGAAAGAUCAGUCAAAACAAAGAAGACAGUUUUCUCCUUUUCAUUGCAAAACAAGGCUGCAUUCUGGCAGAUAAAGACAGGGCAGAAUAUAUAUUGUAAUUAAAUAAAGAAAAUAAUGUCUGACUUUUUUCUAAUUUGUUUCUGGAAAAAUGUUGAAGUCUUAGUGGACCUACUUGAAACUGAGGUGGGAAAUAAGCUGAAGUGAAAUGCUUCUACCCAGGAUUUACAGAGCUGAGUAAAUAAGAAAAGGAGUUUCUGUAAACUCCUAAUGUGCAAAAACCACAUUAUGUAAAUCAGUUCCAGUUCUUCAGCAAAGAAGGGACAGCUGAGCCCACAGUAACAGGUACUUCAUAGUAAAAAAUACUAAAUUUACUUUUUAAAGAGGUAUGGUUUGAAAACAACAGCCUAUAAAUAAAUGGCUAUAUGCUUUAUUUACUAGUCUAAUUCAGCUUUUUGGCAACCAUUCAUUGCUUUGUCUGUGAGUAGAAAGUGUAGUUUACAACCCCUGCUCUGUAGCAUUUUACAGGGUCUGGUGAUCUUCAGAUUCUUUGAGGAGCUGUCCUUGCUACCCCCAGGACAGAGAGCUAGCUGGCCUGAGUAGCAACCUGGGCUUUUUCUAAGCAGGCUGCAGCUUUCCUGGCUGCCCCAGGAUGGUGUUUCUACUGGGAUGGAUCAGCUGGAUUUGAAAAGAGCAUUUGCCUGGUGGUGACCUUUGCCAUGGUAUUGUCUCACCGUGCCCAGCAGCUCCUGGUCUGAGCCCUGUCUCUCCCUGAGGGAGUUCCCUGUGUGCCCUGUGCUGUGCCAUGGAGUGGAGGAAACACAGCUUUGUCCAAGCUGUGGGAAACCCCUGGCCCUGGUGGGAGCACAAGGAGCGCCUGCACCCAGACACCUGCACAGAUUGCCUCAGGACUGGCUGAAGAACAGGAGCUAGUCAAGAACAGCUGAAGUCCACAGAGGGGAUAGCAUCCCACUCUUCCGAGGGAAAGUGAGUCCUUAAUGUUUUCCCAGCCUUCCUCACUAUCAGACUGAACC
Molecule: long non-coding RNA, 1131 nt
Organism: Prinia subflava (tawny-flanked prinia)
Lineage: Eukaryota; Metazoa; Chordata; Aves; Passeriformes; Cisticolidae
Exons: 3
Source: RefSeq, a predicted model, not a curated record